This 200-nucleotide ribosomal RNA is filed under the name uncultured bacterium. RNAcentral's name for it is "partial 16S ribosomal RNA". It matches the Rfam family "Bacterial small subunit ribosomal RNA", at positions 30 to 239 of the family's 1533-position model. The record is from RNAcentral.
AUUGAACGCUGGCGGCAGGCCUAACACAUGCAAGUCGAGCGGGGGUUUUCGGACCUAGCGGCGGACGGGUGAGUAAUGCGUAGGGAGCUGCCCGAUAGAGGGGGGAUACCAGUUGGAAACGACUGUUAAUACCGCAUAAUGUCUACGGACCAAAGUGUGGGACCUUCGGGCCGACAUGCUAUCGGAUGCGCCUACGUGGG